RNAcentral lists this ribosomal RNA (458 nucleotides) under uncultured bacterium. RNAcentral describes it as "bacterial SSU rRNA". It matches the Rfam family "Bacterial small subunit ribosomal RNA", at positions 335 to 787 of the family's 1533-position model. The record is from RNAcentral.
ACUCCUACGGGAGGCAGCAGUGGGGAAUAUUGCACAAUGGGGAAACCCUGAUGCAGCCAUGCCGCGUGUGUGAAGAAGGCCUUCGGUUGUAAAGCACUUCAGUAGGGAGGAAGGUAGUGUAGUUAACACCUGCAUUAUUUGACGUUACCUACAGAAGAAGCACCGGCUAACUCCGUGCCAGCAGCCGCGGUAAUACGGAGGGGUGCGAGCGUUAAUCGGAAUUACUGGGCGUAAAGCGCAUGCAGGCGGCCUGUUAAGUCAGAUGUGAAAGCCCGGGGGCUUAACCUCGGAAUUGCAUUUGAAACUGGCAGGCUAGAGUCUUGUAGAGGGGGUAGAAUUUCAGGUGUAGCGGUGAAAUGCGUAGAGAUCUGAAGGAAUACCAGUGGAGAAGGCGGCCCCCUGGACAAAGACUGACGCUCAGAUGCGAAAGCGUGGGGAGCAAACAGGAUUAGAUACCC